ACAGAGAUGGCGAGCGUUACUCGGAUUUAUUGGGUGUAAAGGGCAGGUAGGUGUUUUGCCAAGUUGUAAGUGAAAUCCUAAGGCUCAACCUUAGAACUGCUUACAAAACUGGCGAAAUUGAGAUUGGUAGAGGAAAGCGGAAUUCCCGGUGUACGGGUGAAAGCUGUAAAGCUGAGGAAGAACACCGAUGGCGAAGGGAGCAAACAGGACAAAAACCGACAGUAAGCCGGGUAAGCUCGUUGAGCAUACAG
Molecule: ribosomal RNA, 251 nt
Filed under: uncultured prokaryote
Description: partial 16S rRNA
Rfam family: Bacterial small subunit ribosomal RNA
Source: RNAcentral